This 187-nucleotide unclassified non-coding RNA is filed under the name Hovea chorizemifolia. RNAcentral describes it as "internal trancribed spacer 2". Lineage: Eukaryota; Viridiplantae; Streptophyta; Magnoliopsida; Fabales; Fabaceae. The record is from RNAcentral.
AUCGUUGCCCCAUUCCCGGUGCCUCGUCGCAGGCGCCGGGCGUGGCGAAUGCUGGCUUCCCGGGAGCACCGUCUCGCGGUUGGCUGAAAGUCGAGCCCGUGGUGGAGUGCACCGCGACGGAUGGUGGAUGAGGGAAACUCGAGACCAGUCGCGCGCGUGGCCUCCCCUAUUCGGCACUCUGUGACCC